GCAAACUGAAGAUGGCGACCGGCGCACGGGUGAGUAACACGUAUCCAACCUGCCGAUAACUCGGGGAUAGCCUUUCGAAAGAAAGAUUAAUACCCGAUGGCAUAAUAGAACCGCAUGGUUUGAUUAUUAAAGAAUUUCGGUUAUCGAUGGGGAUGCGUUCCAUUAGGCAGUUGGUGGGGUAACGGCCCACCAAACCUUCGAUGGAUAGGGGUUCUGAGAGGAAGGUCCCCCACAUUGGAACUGAGACACGGUCCAAACUCCUACGGGAGGCAGCAUG
RNAcentral lists this ribosomal RNA (277 nucleotides) under uncultured bacterium. RNAcentral describes it as "partial 16S ribosomal RNA". It matches the Rfam family "Bacterial small subunit ribosomal RNA", at positions 78 to 353 of the family's 1533-position model. The record is from RNAcentral.